This 484-nucleotide ribosomal RNA is filed under the name uncultured bacterium. RNAcentral's name for it is "partial 16S ribosomal RNA". It matches the Rfam family "Bacterial small subunit ribosomal RNA", at positions 30 to 507 of the family's 1533-position model. The record is from RNAcentral.
AUUGAACGCUGGCGGCAGGCCUAACACAUGCAAGUCGAGCGGAUGAAGGGAGCUUGCUCCUGGAUUCAGCGGCGGACGGGUGAGUAAUGCCUAGGAAUCUGCCUGGUAGUGGGGGAUAACGUCCGGAAACGGGCGCUAAUACCGCAUACGUCCUUAGGGAGAAAGUGGGGGAUCUUCGGACCUCACGCUAUCAGAUGAGCCUAGGUCGGAUUAGCUAGUUGGUGGGGUAAAGGCCUACCAAGGCGACGAUCCGUAACUGGUCUGAGAGGAUGAUCAGUCACACUGGAACUGAGACACGGUCCAGACUCCUACGGGAGGCAGCAGUGGGGAAUAUUGGACAAUGGGCGAAAGCCUGAUCCAGCCAUGCCGCGUGUGUGAAGAAGGUCUUCGGAUUGUAAAGCACUUUAAGUUGGGAGGAAGGGCAGUAAGUUAAUACCUUGCUGUUUUGACGGUACCAACAGAAUAAGCACCGGCUAACUUCGUG